AGCGAACGCUGGCGGCAGGCUUAACACAUGCAAGUCGAGCGGGCCCUUCGGGGUCAGCGGCGGACGGGUGAGUAAAGCGUGGGAACGUGCCUUCUGGUCUGGAAUAACCCUGGGAAACUAGGGCUAAUACCGGAUACGCCCUUUUGGGGAAAGGUUUACUGCCGGAAGAUCGGCCCGCGUCUGAUUAGCUAGUUGGUGGGGUAACGGCCUACCAAGGCGAGGAUCAGUAGCUGGUCUGAGAGGAUGAUCAGCCACACUGGGACUGAGACACGGCCCAGACUCCUACGGGAGGCAGCAGUGGGGAAUAUUGGACAAUGGGCGCAAUCCUGAUCCAGCCAUGCCGCGUGAGUGAUGAAGGCCUUAGGGUUGUAAAGCUCUUUUAUCCGGGACGAUAAUGACGGUACCGGAGGAAUAAGCCCCGGCUAACUUCGUG
This 433-nucleotide ribosomal RNA is filed under the name uncultured bacterium. RNAcentral's name for it is "partial 16S ribosomal RNA". It matches the Rfam family "Bacterial small subunit ribosomal RNA", at positions 29 to 507 of the family's 1533-position model. The record is from RNAcentral.